This 554-nucleotide ribosomal RNA is filed under the name Amphitetranychus viennensis (hawthorn spider mite). RNAcentral describes it as "eukaryotic LSU rRNA". It matches the Rfam family "Eukaryotic large subunit ribosomal RNA", at positions 2326 to 2669 of the family's 3401-position model. Lineage: Eukaryota; Metazoa; Arthropoda; Arachnida; Trombidiformes; Tetranychidae. The record is from RNAcentral.
AACGAGAUUCCCACUGUCCCUAACUACUAUCUAGCGAAACCACAGCCAAGGGAACGGGCUUGGCAAAAUCAGCGGGGAAAGAAGACCCUGUUGAGCUUGACUCUAGUCUGACUUUGUGAAGAGACAUGAGAGGUGUAGCAUAAGUGGGAGCUUUGGGAUCAAUCUUGGUUGUUGCUUCUGUAGCAGCUAAGACCCCUUGGCAACAAUGAAAUACCACUACUCUCAUAGUUUCUUUACUUACACGGUUAAAGGGAAAUUGGGAUAGUGUCUCUCUCACUUGGGUUUACUCAAGGUUCGGGAAGGCCCCCUAUCCUUAAAUUCUAGAGCAAAGUGUAGAUACUUUCAUUAACGCUUGAGACCCUAACUUUUGCCUUGUCCUUCACGGGACUUGAUGAUUUUUAGACUCAAGUUUGAAAGGUAACGUAGUUGCACCGUAAAGAUACUUGUAUCUGGUGUACUCUACAAUCAGCAUGAUCCUCACCGUGGACAUUGUCAGGCUGGGCGUUUGACUGGGGCGGUACAUCUGUCAAAAGGUAACGCAGGUGUCCUAAGGC